RNAcentral lists this ribosomal RNA (512 nucleotides) under uncultured bacterium. RNAcentral describes it as "partial 16S ribosomal RNA". It matches the Rfam family "Bacterial small subunit ribosomal RNA", at positions 28 to 523 of the family's 1533-position model. The record is from RNAcentral.
GACGAACGCUGGCGGCGUGCCUAAUACAUGCAAGUCGAGCGGAUGGAAGGAAGCUUGCUUCCUAAAGUCAGCGGCGGACGGGUGAGUAACACGUGGGCAACCUGCCCCUAAGAUCGGGAUAACUUCGGGAAACCGGAGCUAAUACCGGAUAUGAUUAUGUCUCACAUGAGACAUAAUGGAAAGACGGUUUCGGCUGUCACUCAGGGAUGGGCCCGCGGCGCAUUAGCUAGUUGGUGAGGUAACGGCUCACCAAGGCGACGAUGCGUAGCCGACCUGAGAGGGUGAUCGGCCACACUGGGACUGAGACACGGCCCAGACUCCUACGGGAGGCAGCAGUAGGGAAUCUUCCGCAAUGGACGAAAGUCUGACGGAGCAACGCCGCGUGAGUGAAGAAGGUUUUCGGACCGUAAAACUCUGUUGUUAGGGAAGAACAAGUACCAUAGUAACUGAUGGUACCUUGACGGUACCUAACCAGAAAGCCACGGCUAACUACGUGCCAGCCGCCGCCGUAA